Non-coding RNA from Pelodiscus sinensis (Chinese soft-shelled turtle), 409 nucleotides. Lineage: Eukaryota; Metazoa; Chordata; Testudines; Trionychidae. The record is from RefSeq and is a predicted model, not a curated record.
CUGGGUGCACCGCUCUACUUUCACCUCUCAUAGAGUGAGAUGAGCUCCGAGAAUCAGCAGCUCCUGAUCCCCUUUGUAGUCUUAGAGAGUUGAUGUGCUGCAGAAUGAGUGACUUAGCUGCACAGUACUUGGAGGAAGAAUGACCAAAUGGACCGUUUUACAAGGUAUUCAGAAACAAUAACUACGAAAUGAAUGGUGACGGUCUUCUCAGUUUUUGAGGACAGGAACAGAGCUCCACCAGCAACUGAGGACGGUUGAGAGGAAGUGGUGGGGGGGCCAGACCGCGCGCCUAUAAAAAGGGCAUGAAUGGCACAUUGUGCUCCUGCACAUGUACGCGCUGGCUGACUACAGCUUUGAAGUCUCCGACCAGCAGCACUGGGACAAGCACGACACCUAGAGUGGAGUACUC